UUUAUGGAGAGUUUGAUCCUGGCUCAGGAUGAACGCUGGCGGCGUGCCUAAUACAUGCAAGUCGAGCGAACAGACAAGGAGCUUGCUCCUUUGACGUUAGCGGCGGACGGGUGAGUAACACGUGGGUAACCUACCUAUAAGACUGGGAUAACUUCGGGAAACCGGAGCUAAUACCGGAUAAUAUUUCGAACCGCAUGGUUCGAUAGUGAAAGAUGGUUUUGCUAUCACUUAUAGAUGGACCCGCGCCGUAUUAGCUAGUUGGUAAGGUAACGGCUUACCAAGGCAACGAUACGUAGCCGACCUGAGAGGGUGAUCGGCCACACUGGAACUGAGACACGGUCCAGACUCCUACGGGAGGCAGCAGUAGGGAAUCUUCCGCAAUGGGCGAAAGCCUGACGGAGCAACGCCGCGUGAGUGAUGAAGGUCUUCGGAUCGUAAAACUCUGUUAUUAGGGAAGAACAUACGUGUAAGUAACUGUGCACGUCUUGACGGUACCUAAUCAGAAAGCCACGGCUAACUACGUGCCAGCAGCCGCGGUAAUACGUAGGUGGCAAGCGUUAUCCGGAAUUAUUGGGCGUAAAGCGCGCGUAGGCGGUUUUUUAAGUCUGAUGUGAAAGCCCACGGCUCAACCGUGGAGGGUCAUUGGAAACUGGAAAACUUGAGUGCAGAAGAGGAAAGUGGAAUUCCAUGUGUAGCGGUGAAAUGCGCAGAGAUAUGGAGGAACACCAGUGGCGAAGGCGACUUUCUGGUCUGUAACUGACGCUGAUGUGCGAAAGCGUGGGGAUCAAACAGGAUUAGAUACCCUGGUAGUCCACGCCGUAAACGAUGAGUGCUAAGUGUUAGGGGGUUUCCGCCCCUUAGUGCUGCAGCUAACGCAUUAAGCACUCCGCCUGGGGAGUACGACCGCAAGGUUGAAACUCAAAGGAAUUGACGGGGACCCGCACAAGCGGUGGAGCAUGUGGUUUAAUUCGAAGCAACGCGAAGAACCUUACCAAAUCUUGACAUCCUUUGACAAUUCUAGAGAUAGAGCCUUCCCCUUCGGGGGACAAAGUGACAGGUGGUGCAUGGUUGUCGUCAGCUCGUGUCGUGAGAUGUUGGGUUAAGUCCCGCAACGAGCGCAACCCUUAAGCUUAGUUGCCAUCAUUAAGUUGGGCACUCUAAGUUGACUGCCGGUGACAAACCGGAGGAAGGUGGGGAUGACGUCAAAUCAUCAUGCCCCUUAUGAUUUGGGCUACACACGUGCUACAAUGGACAAUACAAAGGGCAGCGAAACCGCAAGGUCAAGCAAAUCCCAUAAAGUUGUUCUCAGUUCGGAUUGUAGUCUGCAACUCGACUACAUGAAGCUGGAAUCGCUAGUAAUCGUAGAUCAGCAUGCUACGGUGAAUACGUUCCCGGGUCUUGUACACACCGCCCGUCACACCACGAGAGUUUGUAACACCCGAAGCCGGUGGAGUAACCAUUUGGAGCUAGCCGUCGAAGGUGGGACAAAUGAUUGGGGUGAAGUCGUAACAAGGUAGCCGUAUCGGAAGGUGCGGCUGGAUCACCUCCUUUCU
Molecule: ribosomal RNA, 1553 nt
Filed under: Staphylococcus borealis
Lineage: Bacteria; Bacillati; Bacillota; Bacilli; Caryophanales; Staphylococcaceae
Description: bacterial SSU rRNA
Rfam family: Bacterial small subunit ribosomal RNA
Source: RNAcentral